UCUCUGAGACUCACUAGCUUCUCUCUACAGUCGAAAGUAGCACUAUAUGUAGAUAACCAAUCCAUCCCUAGAAUGACAUCAAAAUCUGUCAAAUCUAGAACCACAAGGUCAGCUGGAAGGUAUCUACCCUCUAUAAACACUGGACUGAAACGACAGACUGACACUGCCACUGAUGGGUCACAUUUAGGUCCACUGACCCAGAGAGGAUACUCUAACUCAGAACUGAUCAAACCCAAUCUCUCUAUGGCUCUCGAAGCAAUAAAGGAAUGAGAAGCACCGGGGUCCAUCAAAGCAUACACAUCGGAACACCCAAUGAUGAGAUUACC
RNAcentral lists this long non-coding RNA (326 nucleotides) under Manihot esculenta (cassava). Its description in RNAcentral is "long non-coding RNA (MESC_LNC006059)". Lineage: Eukaryota; Viridiplantae; Streptophyta; Magnoliopsida; Malpighiales; Euphorbiaceae. The record is from RNAcentral.